CUUGAAACGGUUCCACCAGGGCUGUUCUCGCCUCCGACUCAGGAAGAGCUGUAAUUAACACAGCAACAAACGCCCACAACGCUAACUGGCAGAGGGAGUGUAACACGAGCCGCUGCUCCAACCCAACUGGGCCAAAUAUUUAGUUAUGUGAUGCUAUUUGACUCAGAUGUGCAAUCCCAGGGAGCAGGAGCAAAAGAAAAAGGAGAGCAAGACAGGAAAAUCAGGAAAGCCAACACAAGGAUGCAGUUGGAACCGACCACUGCUGAUGCCUAUUGAGUGCUCAGGCUAUAGGACUUAGCCCUUAAGGACUAUCAGCUGCAUCUCAUCAUGACAGAAAGGUAUGGACUAAUCUCCAGAGCAGACAAAUGAGUUGCUGUUUAACAGGCUCUGUGUAAUCUGCUUUGAACACACCAGGUGGAUCUCCAAUUAUAAUGCUUCCCAAGCCUUAGCUUAACAAAAUGAGUUCUAGCUCCCCAUCUUCUCCAUGUGUUGUUUUCAGUAAAUACACAUUUGGCCUUGAAUGAAUGAAGAUUUCACAAACCUUGUUUCAGGA
Molecule: long non-coding RNA, 553 nt
Organism: Ochotona princeps (American pika)
Lineage: Eukaryota; Metazoa; Chordata; Mammalia; Lagomorpha; Ochotonidae
Exons: 3
Source: RefSeq, a predicted model, not a curated record